UUUCCGUAGGUGAACCUGCGGAAGGAUCAUCG
Molecule: ribosomal RNA, 32 nt
Filed under: Campanula versicolor
Lineage: Eukaryota; Viridiplantae; Streptophyta; Magnoliopsida; Asterales; Campanulaceae
Description: partial 18S ribosomal RNA
Source: RNAcentral